Molecule: ribosomal RNA, 465 nt
Filed under: Vreelandella stevensii
Lineage: Bacteria; Pseudomonadati; Pseudomonadota; Gammaproteobacteria; Oceanospirillales; Halomonadaceae
Description: partial 16S ribosomal RNA
Rfam family: Bacterial small subunit ribosomal RNA
Source: RNAcentral
CCUACGGGGGGCAGCAGUGGGGAAUAUUGGACAAUGGGCGAAAGCCUGAUCCAGCCAUGCCGCGUGUGUGAAGAAGGCCUUCGGGUUGUAAAGCACUUUCAGUGGGGACGAAAGCCUUGGGGCUAAUACCCUCGAGGAAGGACAUCACCCACAGAAGAAGCACCGGCUAACUCCGUGCCAGCAGCCGCGGUAAUACGGAGGGUGCGAGCGUUAAUCGGAAUUACUGGGCGUAAAGCGCGCGUAGGCGGUCUGAUAAGCCGGUUGUGAAAGCCCCGGGCUCAACCUGGGAACGGCAUCCGGAACUGUCAGGCUAGAGUGCAGGAGAGGAAGGUAGAAUUCCCGGUGUAGCGGUGAAAUGCGUAGAGAUCGGGAGGAAUACCAGUGGCGAAGGCGGCCUUCUGGACUGACACUGACGCUGAGGUGCGAAAGCGUGGGUAGCAAACAGGAUUAGAUACCCCUGUAGUC